CCUACGGGAGGCUGCAGUGGGGAAUAUUGCACAAUGGGGGAAACCCUGAUGCAGCGACGCCGCGUGGGUGAAGAAGUAUUUCGGUAUGUAAAGCUCUGUCAGCAGGGAAGAAAAUGACGGUACCUGACCAAGAAGCCCCGGCUAACUACGUGCCAGCAGCCGCGGUAAUACGUAGGGGGCAAGCGUUAUCCGGAUUUACUGGGUGUAAAGGGAGCGUAGACGGCAGGGCAAGUCUGGAGUGAAAGCCCAUGGCUCAACCACGGAACUGCUUUGGAAACUGUGCGGCUGGAGUGCAGGAGGGGUAAGCGGAAUUCCUAGUGUAGCGGUGAAAUGCGUAGAUAUUAGGAGGAACACCAGUGGCGAAGGCGGCUUACUGGACUGUAACUGACGUUGAGGCUCGAAGGCGUGGGGAGCAAACAGGAUUAGAUACCCCGGUAGUC
This 440-nucleotide ribosomal RNA is filed under the name uncultured bacterium. RNAcentral's name for it is "partial 16S ribosomal RNA". It matches the Rfam family "Bacterial small subunit ribosomal RNA", at positions 338 to 795 of the family's 1533-position model. The record is from RNAcentral.